GACGAUUGUGUGCCGGCCUUCCCAAAGGAGAGCGCUUCCAGCUGGAUCCAGGGCACAGGAAAUGAUCUAGCGAAAGCCUUUUGGUGACAAUUAACAGAAUUCCUGCCGAUAACUUCUUUUUUUGGUUCUGUCCCUCAGAACAAUUUCACAUCAAGCCCUAAGUGGCUGUGGAGAGGCCUUGGAGUGACAGGAAUGCAAGAAUGAGGACACCUGGUGAUUCACCUGGCUCAGAAUCCUCUCCCCCGGCAGUGGCCAGGGAUGGGUGUUUGAGGAGAGACGAGAACCAGGUUUGGAGCUGUUGUCUUACCCCCAGUGCUCCUGAGAGGAAACACAGAAGAGGGUCC
Molecule: long non-coding RNA, 344 nt
Filed under: Parus major (Great Tit)
Lineage: Eukaryota; Metazoa; Chordata; Aves; Passeriformes; Paridae
Description: lncRNA (ENSPMJG00000009130.1)
Source: RNAcentral